This 581-nucleotide ribosomal RNA is filed under the name Melampsora allii-populina. RNAcentral's name for it is "eukaryotic LSU rRNA". It matches the Rfam family "Eukaryotic large subunit ribosomal RNA", at positions 272 to 846 of the family's 3401-position model. Lineage: Eukaryota; Fungi; Basidiomycota; Pucciniomycetes; Pucciniales; Melampsoraceae. RNAcentral also lists the same sequence under 2 other names. The record is from RNAcentral.
GUUUGGGAAUGCAGCUCAAAGUGGGUGGUAAAUUCCAUCUAAGGCUAAAUAUAAGUGAGAGACCGAUAGCAAACAAGUACCGUGAGGGAAAGAUGAAAAGAACUUUGAAAAUAGAGUUAACAGUACGUGAAAUUGCUGAAAGGUAAACGUUUGAAGUUAGUUUUGUAUUCGUUAGAUCAGCUUCGCAAGGAGUGUAUUCUGAUGAUAAGCAAGUCAACAUCAGUCUAUGAGUGUCGGAGAAGGGUUUUGAGAAUGUAGCAAUUUAAUUGUGUUAUAGCUUGAGACUUGGAUACGAUGCUUUGGAUUGAGGAACGCGUAGUAAGCUUUGAGCGGAUUCGAAAGGAUCUCCUUACUAUGGAUGUUGGUGAAAUAACUUUAAGCGACCCGUCUUGAAACACGGACCAAGGAGUCUAACAUGCUUGCGAGUAUUAGGGUGUUGAAACCCGAAUGCGUAAUGAAAGUGAAUCUAAGAUGUGAUCCGCAAGGUGCAACAUCGGCCGGUCUGGAACAUUUAUGUGAAGGUACUGAGCAAGAGCAAGUAUGUUAGGACCCGAAAGAUGGUGAACUAUGCCUGGAUAGGG